RNAcentral lists this ribosomal RNA (447 nucleotides) under uncultured bacterium. RNAcentral describes it as "bacterial SSU rRNA". It matches the Rfam family "Bacterial small subunit ribosomal RNA", at positions 355 to 825 of the family's 1533-position model. The record is from RNAcentral.
UGGGGAAUAUUGGACAAUGGGCGAAAGCCUGAUCCAGCCAUGCCGCGUGAGUGACGAAGGCCUUAGGGUUGUAAAACUCUUUCGUCGGGGACGAUAAUGACGGUACCCGAAGAAGAAGCUCCGGCUAACUUCGUGCCAGCAGCCGCGGUAAUACGAAGGGAGCUAGCGUUGUUCGGAAUCACUGGGCGUAAAGCGCACGUAGGCGGAUAGUUAAGUCAGGGGUGAAAUCCUGGGGCUCAACCCCAGAACUGCCUUUGAUACUGGCUGUCUCGAGGUCGAGAGAGGUUGGUGGAAUUCCUAGUGUAGAGGUGAAAUUCGUAGAUAUUAGGAAGAACACCAGUGGCGAAGGCGGCCAACUGGCUCGAUACUGAUGCUGAGGUGCGAAAGCGUGGGGAGCAAACAGGAUUAGAUACCCAGGUAGUCCCUGAGCGGGCUGGCAAGGCGCAU